AAUAGAUACCCCGGUAGUCCACCCCGUAGACGUUGGGAACUAGUUGUGGGGUCCUUUCCACGGAUUCCGUGACGCAGCUAACGCAUUAAGUUCCCCGCCUGGGGAGUACGGCCGCAAGGCUAAAACUCAAAGGAAUUGACGGGGACCCGCACAAGCGGCGGAGCAUGCGGAUUAAUUCGAUGCAACGCGAAGAACCUUACCAAGGCUUGACAUACACCAGAACACCCUAGAAAUAGGGGACUCUUUGGACACUGGUGAACAGGUGGUGCAUGGUUGUCGUCAGCUCGUGUCGUGAGAUGUUGGGUUAAGUCCCGCAACGAGCGCAACCCUCGUUCUAUGUUGCCAGCACGUAAUGGUGGGAACUCAUGGGAUACUGCCGGGGUCAACUCGGAGGAAGGUGGGGAUGACGUCAAAUCAUCAUGCCCCUUAUGUCUUGGGCUUCACGCAUGCUACAAUGGCCGGUACAAAGGGCUGCAAUACCGUGAGGUGGAGCGAAUCCCAAAAAGCCGGUCCCAGUUCGGAUUGAGGUCUGCAACUCGA
This 540-nucleotide ribosomal RNA is filed under the name uncultured bacterium. Its description in RNAcentral is "bacterial SSU rRNA". It matches the Rfam family "Bacterial small subunit ribosomal RNA", at positions 777 to 1315 of the family's 1533-position model. The record is from RNAcentral.